UAAUUGAAGAGUUUGAUCAUGGCUCAGAUUGAACGCUGGCGGCAGGCCUAACACAUGCAAGUCGAGCGGUAGCACAAGAGAGCUUGCUC
Molecule: ribosomal RNA, 89 nt
Filed under: Escherichia coli
Lineage: Bacteria; Pseudomonadati; Pseudomonadota; Gammaproteobacteria; Enterobacterales; Enterobacteriaceae
Also listed under: 1 other name
Description: partial 16S ribosomal RNA
Rfam family: Bacterial small subunit ribosomal RNA
Source: RNAcentral